GACGAACGCUGGCGGCGUGCUUAACACAUGCAAGUCGAACGGAAAGGCCCUGCUUUUGUGGGGUGCUCGAGUGGCGAACGGGUGAGUAACACGUGAGUAACCUGCCCUUGACUUUGGGAUAACUUCAGGAAACUGGGGCUAAUACCGGAUAGGAGCUCCUGCUGCAUGGUGGGGGUUGGAAAGUUUCGGCGGUUGGGGAUGGACUCGCGGCUUAUCAGCUUGUUGGUGGGGUAGUGGCUUACCAAGGCUUUGACGGGUAGCCGGCCUGAGAGGGUGACCGGCCACAUUGGGACUGGAGUACGGCCCAGACUCCUACGGGAGGCAGCAGUGGGGAAUAUUGCACAAUGGGCGGAAGCCUGAUGCAGCAACGCCGCGUGCGGGAUGACGGCCUUCGGGUUGUAAACCGCUUUCGCCUGUGACGAAGCGUGAGUGACGGUAAUGGGUAAAGAAGCACCGGCUAACUACGUG
Molecule: ribosomal RNA, 468 nt
Filed under: uncultured bacterium
Lineage: Bacteria
Description: partial 16S ribosomal RNA
Rfam family: Bacterial small subunit ribosomal RNA
Source: RNAcentral